AUGUACAUGCCUACAACAUAACGUUAAUGCAUUGAAUCCUAUUAGAACUUUGUAGUUAAGCGUGCUCGGGCUAGAGUAGUACUCGUAUGGGUGACCACCCAGGAAGUCCUAGUGUUUUACAUU
Non-coding RNA from Picea glauca (white spruce), 123 nucleotides. The record is from Rfam. NCBI's taxonomy places the organism in Eukaryota, Viridiplantae, Streptophyta, Pinopsida, Pinales, Pinaceae.